AUCCUGUGGUGAGGGCAAGCUUCCAAUAACUUCUUGAAUCUUUCCCAGUAUUCAUACAAGGUCUCCCCAUCUUGUUGUACAAUACAAGAGAUCUCUCUUGUCUAUUUU
Molecule: small nucleolar RNA, 108 nt
Organism: Arachis stenosperma
Lineage: Eukaryota; Viridiplantae; Streptophyta; Magnoliopsida; Fabales; Fabaceae
Source: RefSeq, a predicted model, not a curated record